RNAcentral lists this long non-coding RNA (445 nucleotides) under Apteryx rowi (Okarito brown kiwi). RNAcentral describes it as "lncRNA (ENSARWG00000002039.1)". Lineage: Eukaryota; Metazoa; Chordata; Aves; Apterygiformes; Apterygidae. The record is from RNAcentral.
CAAGAUCUUUGUCAGCUGGUGUUAGUUCACUACUGCUGGAGGCCCAUUUCAUUCUAAUUCUCAUUAUAAGAAUUCUUCUUAUACCUAACAUCCCAACCAUCACACAUGUAGCACCAGAACUUUCCUUGAUAUUGCUUUGGCAUCUGAAGCUUUUUCACUUCCUUAGAUAUGUUAUAUUGGGAUUUGUGUUUAACCAGAUUUUUGCUGUAACCAGAUGUCUCUCUUUUCCUGCAUUCUGACUGUUUUUUUCUCCUAUGUGAAUAAUCUGGAACUUGGCUGUAGUCUUUGUAUUGGUAAAACAACAGUCACUCAAGGAUUUGGAAACCAAGUUAUUGAACAUCAAGUACUGGAUGGUGUUAACACAGCGCUCCUACCCUUGCGCUUCCCUGUCCUGGGAUCCUCAAAGAAAGUCUCCUGUUCCUGGUCUCUUCUCUUCAGGCUUUGA